RNAcentral lists this small nucleolar RNA (135 nucleotides) under Castor canadensis (American beaver). RNAcentral's name for it is "Small nucleolar RNA SNORA61 (ENSCCNG00000014377.1)". The record is from RNAcentral. Lineage: Eukaryota; Metazoa; Chordata; Mammalia; Rodentia; Castoridae.
GUUUUUUUGUUUUAAUGAAAGGGAUCGGAUCUGAACGCUGGUCUUGGUGGUCGUAAAAGGAGGGAAAGUGAUACUGAGCUGGCCUCACAGCAUUGCAGCCUGGCAUUUUAGCGUGUGGGCGAGUUUCAAACAGGA